GGGUAACCUGCCCAUAAGACUGGGAUAACUCCCGGAAACCGGGGCUAAUACCGGAUAACAUUUUGAACCGCAUGGUUCGAAAUUGAAAGGCGGCUUCGGCUGUCACUUAUGGAUGGACNNNNNUCGCAUUAGCUAGUUGGUGAGGUAACGGCUCACCAAGGCAACGAUGCGUAGCCGACCUGAGAGGGUGAUCGGCCACACUGGGACUGAGACACGGCCCAGACUCCUACGGGAGGCAGCAGUAGGGAAUCUUCCGCAAUGGACGAAAGUCUGACGGAGCAACGCCGCGUGAGUGAUGAAGGCUUUCGGGUCGUAAAACUCUGUUGUUAGGGAAGAACAAGUGCUAGUUGAAUUUUCUGGCACCUUGACGGUACCUAACCAGAAAGCCACGGCUAACUACGUGCCAGCAGCCGCGGUAAUACGUAGGUGGCAA
Molecule: ribosomal RNA, 433 nt
Filed under: Bacillus sp. PCAM15
Lineage: Bacteria; Bacillati; Bacillota; Bacilli; Caryophanales; Bacillaceae
Description: bacterial SSU rRNA
Rfam family: Bacterial small subunit ribosomal RNA
Source: RNAcentral